RNAcentral lists this ribosomal RNA (460 nucleotides) under uncultured bacterium. RNAcentral describes it as "partial 16S ribosomal RNA". It matches the Rfam family "Bacterial small subunit ribosomal RNA", at positions 338 to 795 of the family's 1533-position model. The record is from RNAcentral.
CCUACGGGAGGCAGCAGUGAGGAAUAUUGGUCAAUGGGCGCGAGCCUGAACCAGCCAAGUCGCGUGAGGGAAGACGGCCCUACGGGUUGUAAACCUCUUUUGCCGGGGAGCAACGGGCGCCACGUGUGGCGCCACUGAGAGUACCCGGAGAAACAGCAUCGGCUAACUCCGUGCCAGCAGCAGCGGUAACACGGGGGAUGCGAGCGUUAUCCGGAUUUAUUGGGUUUAAAGGGUGCGUAGGCGGGGCGUUAAGCCAGUGGUAAAAUUGGGGGGCUCAACCCGUUCCCGCCAUUGAAACUGGCGCUCUUGAGUGGAAGAGAAGUAUGCGGAAUGCGUGGUGUAGCGGUGAAAUGCAUAGAUAUCACGCAGAACCCCGAUGGCGAAGGCAGCAUGCCGGCUUCCGACUGACGCUGAGGCACGAAAGCGUGGGGAUCGAACAGGAUUAGAUACCCCAGUAGUC